AUUGAACGCUGGCGGCAGGCCUAACACAUGCAAGUCGAGCGGAAACGAGUUAUCUGAACCUUCGGGGAAUGAUAACGGCGUCGAGCGGCGGACGGGUGAGUAAUGCCUAGGAAAUUGCCCUGAUGUGGGGGAUAACCAUUGGAAACGAUGGCUAAUACCGCAUGAUGCCUACGGGCCAAAGAGGGGGACCUUCGGGCCUCUCGCGUCAGGAUAUGCCUAGGUGGGAUUAGCUAGUUGGUGAGGUAAGGGCUCACCAAGGCAACGAUCCCUAGCUGGUCUGAGAGGAUGAUCAGCCACACUGGAACUGAGACACGGUCCAGACUCCUACGGGAGGCAGCAGUGGGGAAUAUUGCACAAUGGGCGCAAGCCUGAUGCAGCCAUGCCGCGUGUAUGAAGAAGGCCUUCGGGUUGUAAAGUACUUUCAGCAGUGAGGAAGGCGGGUACGUUAAUAGCGUGCUCGUUUGACGUUAGCUGCAGAAGAAGCACCGGCUAACUCCGUGCCAGCAGCCGCGGUAAUACGGAGGGUGCGAGCGUUAAUCGGAAUUACUGGGCGUAAAGCGCAUGCAGGUGGUUUGUUAAGUCAGAUGUGAAAGCCCGGGGCUCAACCUCGGAAUAGCAUUUGAAACUGGCAGACUAGAGUACUGUAGAGGGGGGUAGAAUUUCAGGGGUAGCGGUGAAAUGCGUAGAAAUCUGAAACGUAUAACCGGU
This 708-nucleotide ribosomal RNA is filed under the name uncultured Vibrio sp. RNAcentral describes it as "bacterial SSU rRNA". It matches the Rfam family "Bacterial small subunit ribosomal RNA", at positions 28 to 714 of the family's 1533-position model. Lineage: Bacteria; Pseudomonadati; Pseudomonadota; Gammaproteobacteria; Vibrionales; Vibrionaceae. The record is from RNAcentral.